AUUGAACGCUGGCGGCGUGCUUAACACAUGCAAGUCGUGCGGUAACAGGCGUAGCAAUACGUGCUGACGAGCGGCGAACGGGUGCGUAAUACAUGGGAAUCUGCCCUUUAGUGGGGAAUAACCCGGCGAAAGCCGGGCUAAUGCCGCAUAAGAUCUUCGGAUGAAAGCGGGGGAUCGUAAGACCUCGCGCUGAUGGAUGAGCCCAUGUCGGAUUAGCUAGUGGUGAGGUAACGGCUCACCAAGGCGACGAUCCGUAGCUGGUCUGAGAGGACGGCCAGCCACACUGGGACUGAGACACGGCCCAGACUCCUACGGGAGGCAGCAGUGGGAAUAUUGGACAAUGGGGGAAACCCUGAUCCAGCGACGCCGCGUGUGUGAAGAAGGCCUGGCGGGUUGUAAA
This 400-nucleotide ribosomal RNA is filed under the name uncultured bacterium. RNAcentral's name for it is "bacterial SSU rRNA". It matches the Rfam family "Bacterial small subunit ribosomal RNA", at positions 29 to 429 of the family's 1533-position model. The record is from RNAcentral.